This 883-nucleotide long non-coding RNA is filed under the name Homo sapiens (human). Its description in RNAcentral is "non-protein coding lnc-MRGPRF-5:2". The record is from RNAcentral. Lineage: Eukaryota; Metazoa; Chordata; Mammalia; Primates; Hominidae.
GCGAACUUCCUCUCGGCUCCCGACAUCCUCCUCGAUACGCACUCUGCCACAACGGGCAGGGUCCCUUUCAGCGUCUCAUCCACAGUGAACGGGAGUUGAGGCUUUCUUAGCGGAGGGGCUGGAGGGACACAGCAGGAGGGCAGGAGGGCAGGUGGAGGGACAUGGCAGGAGGGCAGGUGAAGGGACACAGCAGGAGGGCAGGUGGAGGGACACGGCAGGAGGGCAAGUGGAGGGACAUGGCAGGAGGGCAGGAGGGCAGGUGGAGGGACGUGGCAGGAGGGCAGGUGGAGGGACAUGGCAGGAGGGCAGGAGGGCAGGUGGAGGGACGUGGCAGGAGGGCAGGUGGAGGGACAUGGCAGGAGGGCAGGUGGAGGGACACAGCAGGAGGGCAGGUGGAGGGGCAUGGCAGGAGGGCAAGAGGGCAGGUGGAGGGACACGGCAGGAGGGCAGGUGGAGGGACACGGCAGGAGGGCAGGUGGAGGGACACCGCAGGAGGGCAGGUGGAGGGACACGGCAGGAGGGCAGGUGGAGGGACAGAGCAGGAGGGCAGGUGGAGGGACAGAGCAGGAGGGCAGGCCUCCCCUGCGGUUUCCGGAUGCUACGGGGUGGAUCGGAGUGUGGUGUUAAGCACAUCUGGACACGCUCUGUCCGAGACACAUAGUCCCCAGGGGACCUACAGCCACAGCCUGACCUCCUGAAAAUUUCCCAGCUUCCCACAGUCCUCAAUGUGGAAACCAGUGCCCAAAGGCCACCUGCCCACACUGGCACCGAAUUCCCUCGGCAGGACCACGCCACUGCCUGCUCACAGCCUGGGCCUGCUGCACCCAGGAGGGUCGCCUCCUGCUUACCCAGUGACCACAAACCAACCGCAGCCCGGGGAAGC